RNAcentral lists this ribosomal RNA (253 nucleotides) under uncultured bacterium. Its description in RNAcentral is "partial 16S ribosomal RNA". It matches the Rfam family "Bacterial small subunit ribosomal RNA", at positions 524 to 776 of the family's 1533-position model. The record is from RNAcentral.
UACGGGGGGGGCAAGCGUUGUUCGGAAUUACUGGGCGUAAAGGGCUCGUAGGCGGCCAACUAAGUCAGACGUGAAAUCCCUCGGCUUAACCGGGGAACUGCAUCUGAUACUGGAUGGCUUGAGUUCGGGAGAGGGAUGCGGAAUUCCAGGUGUAGCGGUGAAAUGCGUAGAUAUCCGGAGGAACACCGGUGGCGAAGGCGGCUUCCUGGACCGACACUGACGCUGAGGCGCGAAAGCUAGGGGAGCAAACGGG